Molecule: ribosomal RNA, 329 nt
Filed under: uncultured eukaryote
Lineage: Eukaryota
Description: partial 18S ribosomal RNA
Rfam family: Eukaryotic small subunit ribosomal RNA
Source: RNAcentral
CCCUUAGAUGUUCUGGGCCGCACGCGCGCUACACUGUUUGAUUCAGCGAGUCUUAACCUUGACCGAAAGGUUUGGGUAAUCUUCUAAAGUCAAACGUGAUGGGGAUCGAUCAUUGCAAUUAUUGAUCGUGAACGAGGAAUUCCUAGUAAAUGCAAGUCAACAGCUUGCGUUGAUUACGUCCCUGCCCUUUGUACACACCGCCCGUCGCUACUACCGAUUGAAUGGUUUAGUGAGAUCUCCGGAUUGGCUCUGUAGGUCCCGCAAGGGAUUUAUUAGUAGCCAAGAAGCUGCUCAAACUUGAUCAUUUAGAGGAAGUAAAAGUCGUAACA